Long non-coding RNA from Selaginella moellendorffii, 1417 nucleotides. RefSeq lists it as uncharacterized. The record is from RefSeq and is a predicted model, not a curated record. The transcript is spliced from 6 exons. NCBI's taxonomy places the organism in Eukaryota, Viridiplantae, Streptophyta, Lycopodiopsida, Selaginellales, Selaginellaceae.
CUAAAGGAAUGGAAAUUUAGGGUUCCAGGCUAUGGCGAGGCUGAGCACUGGCGUUACCACGCGCCAGUACGCUGAACGUAUGCCGCGCAUCUCCGAUACUCCUCUCUCAGCUCGGAUUCUGGAUUAGGGACUGCCGCCGCUACAGCACAGGCGAUUUCCAUCCAGAGCGCGGAGGAUUCCUGAUUGUCGAAAUGCCGCAGCCUGUGCUGCUCAAGAGAAGCGAUUUCCGCUGGAAUUUUCCCAAGGAAAUCGUUGUGGCAUAUCCAAUUCAUCCCUGGAGUUCAUGAAUUUCUUUCCUUUGUAGCUCUGACAGUGGUGUGUUUCAAUCAGCCAGGCGAACGAAAUGCAUUCUUACGGAGCCUGGAGUACUGUGGUUUGCGAUCAUCGGAAUAUGCAGGUAGAUAGAUACCUUUGAAUGAUUUCUAGAACUUGAGAUCUAGACGAUUGCAUCGAAGAGUUUGGCAACCAGUAAAGUUCCUCGACUUUGGUUCCAGCCGGAGCUAUACGGAAUGUAAAGAAAAUGGUGAAGAGCGCAAGAAAAAAGUCAUACACUCUUGCCGUCGGGAAGCCAAAUCCUGCAAAGCUUGUAAACAUUCCUGAGGUAACUCUCUUGGAGUAGUGUGAUGUGUUUGUCCUUGUAGCAUGUCCACCGGCGUUAGAUGAAAACUGGGAACUCCGGCAGUAUUGGAGGAAAAAGACGCACAAUUUUACUCGCUCGACUCUAAGGAGAGAAACCAGGCUAUCCUAUGGCUGCAAUUUAUAGAAAUUCGCUGUGUUGUUGGAAACAUUGCUCGCUUGCAGGCGAUUGAUCUCAGCUCGCGAUAGUGAAGAGGUUUGCAUCGAUUAGUUAUUUACAUUGUCGUUGCAGUGGUGCGAGGUGAGACGCAAACCUGGCAGGAACGGUGGCCACUUUGAAAGCUCCCAUGCAUGCCGAUGAUCCACUUUUCUCUUUCACGAUUUGCUACUUGACCAGUGUACACACGUACUUGGACAAGGUGCUACCUUCGAAGGAGUUUUGACAACGUCUUGACAAGUCAUUGCCGUGCGUUCUCAACUCUAGGUGUGUCGCGCGCUAUACCAAUCAUUCGAGAGGGACCCGAAGCGGCAGAGCAUGGGGAUUGGGAGUUGAUGAGCUCCGACCAGAUUGAAGGAUCCAUUGACCUCUUCCUCUAGGUGCACGCAUGGGUCAUGCUCUUCUUGGUCCUGUCUAUCAUGCCGUCCAGGAAUCCAUCGAUUUAGCUUGGCAUCAUGUUCUAAAGAGGAAAAUAUUCUUGGCGAUCAUGGUGGGAUUUCCUGUGUGGAGGAGACCAUUGUGACACGAUCAAGGCUAAGAUUAGAAUUGCUUGGGAUUGUAGCUUGAAAUCGGGCCUUGUAUGGGGAGAACAACAAAAAAUAAAAGCAUUUGCACUCACGAACU